CCGGUCCCAUCCCGAACCCGGCAGUUAAGCUCGACAGCGCCGAUGGUACUUGGAGGGCAACUUCCUGGGAGAGUAGGUCAUUGCCAAAA
Molecule: ribosomal RNA, 89 nt
Filed under: Anaerolineae bacterium
Lineage: Bacteria; Bacillati; Chloroflexota; Anaerolineae
Source: RNAcentral